UCCGAGUUGACCCCGGCAGUCUCCUAUGAGUCCCCGACAUUACUCGCUGGCAACAUAGGACGAGGGUUGCGCUCGUUGCGGGACUUAACCCAACAUCUCACGACACGAGCUGACGACAACCAUGCACCACCUGUGCACGACCCUUACGGACCUCCCAUCUCUGGAAGAUUUCCGUGCAUGUCAAGCCUAGGUAAGGUUCUUCGCGUUGCGUCGAAUUAAACCACAUGCUCCACCGCUUGUGCGGGCCCCCGUCAAUUCCUUUGAGUUUCAACCUUGCGGCCGUACUCCCCAGGCGGGGUACUUACUGCGUUAGCUGCGGCACGGAGACCGUGGAAUGGCCCCCACACCUAGCGCCCAACGUUUACGGCGUGGACUAC
This 377-nucleotide unclassified non-coding RNA is filed under the name uncultured Frankiales bacterium. RNAcentral's name for it is "contains 16S-23S intergenic spacer region". Lineage: Bacteria; Bacillati; Actinomycetota; Actinomycetes; Frankiales. The record is from RNAcentral.